This 309-nucleotide ribosomal RNA is filed under the name uncultured bacterium. Its description in RNAcentral is "bacterial SSU rRNA". It matches the Rfam family "Bacterial small subunit ribosomal RNA", at positions 28 to 334 of the family's 1533-position model. The record is from RNAcentral.
GACGAACGCUGGCGGCGUGCUUAACACAUGCAAGUCGAGCGGGGAUCGGAGACUUCGGUUUCUGAUUCUAGCGGCGGACGGGUGAGUAACGCGUGAGCAAUCUGUCCCAGACAGGGGGAUAACACUUGGAAACAGGUGCUAAUACCGCAUAAGACCACGACACCACAUGGUGAUGAGGUAAAAGAUUUAUUGGUCUGGGGUGAGCUCGCGUCCGAUUAGCUAGUUGGUGAGGUAACGGCCCACCAAGGCGACGAUCGGUAGCCGACCUGAGAGGGUGAUCGGCCACAUUGGAACUGAGACACGGUCCAA